AACAACUGACACACACACACACACACACACACACACACACACACUUCAAAGUCGAUCUUGAACUUGGCUUCAGGUGGUGGGUGCGGCCGCGGGUCACAGUGUCAAGGAGGAAGAGAAUCAUCGGAAAAAGCCUCGCGCGGGCCUUAAGGGAUUCGCAACAUAAUCGUUUCGCCACGAAUAAGGAUUCUUUGAUUAAGGUCUUUCUAAUUGCAAAAUGGGAGACGGACACUCAUUGCAUAAUUUCGAAAGAAGUGUGAUUGAAAUAUUUAUAGUCAUUAACAUACGUGUAGUUUUUAAUUUUGUUUAGUCAGCGGGCUUUACUUUUCAUAUUUCAAAACUCCUUGUUAUUAAAGUAAAAGGUUAAGAUUGGGGCAUAUGCCAAAGCUGCGCGUGGCCUCGGCGUUCAUAUCCGUCUCAUCGCCCCUUGAGUCUGUGCUGAGUACGACUAAAGAAUCCAGGGCAAGUGUGACCCCCAAGUUACCACUGAUAACCUUCCCCAAGUUUCCCCAGAUACCCGUUUAUCAACCAGCGUAAAAGGGAGGUUGACCCCCAAGAUAAGCUGCGUUCUGACUGCCCUGGCUGGGAUACGAACUCGUGGUCUUGUAUUCGUAGUUAGUCGUGUUAACAGUGCACCGGGGAGGCUAUUAAUAUCUUUGCCAGGCUGCCUCACUGUACCCGGCGACUCUUCACCAAACACCCACACCACCAAAUUCUUUCACUCACGCCUACUCCCACUUAAGCCUUCGCCACUACAAAACACUCAUACUGCUACACACUGCCUCCACCCGGUAUUACAACGCCUUGACACACACACACACACACACACACACACGAGUCGCUUCCCCGUGUGUGUGUGUUUAUCACGUCAUCUGCAACAAGCCUUUCUCUCUCUUCCCAAGCACACCCACCCGUCAGCCUCAACCUUCUCCUCUUCCCCCUCUCCUCCUCCUCGUCUCCUCUCCCCGUCGUGUGCAGCUCCUCGCCUAUUGUUUCACGGUGCAUUAUUUCUUAUACCUUUUUUGUCUGCGUUUCCAUACUAGCUCCAUUUUGUAUUCCAAGUGCCUCUCUUUACACCGUUUCUGCCCCGAGGCGUGUCACCGAGCGAGCGGGAUAAUGGUUACAUGUUUCAGGGAGGUGAAGUUUAUUUUUUCUUCCAGGGAGCUGUGUUAUGUAACGUGUUUUUGUCAUCUUCCUCGACAAUGCCAUUUUUCUCUCUCCUUGAAUGUGACAUAUGUGUGCAGGGAGUGUUGUUGCUUAUGAUGGGAAACUACGAUUGUGGAAGUAUUUGAGAAAGAGCGUUGAAAAAGUUAAAAUAAUAUGUCUUCAUUGCUAUUAUUACCAUUAUUUGCUUAUUUGAAGACGCAGAAAGCAAGGUAGCGUACUCUGUCCUUGAAUGUGAGAAGUGUGUAGAAAAAAAGUAAUUGGAAACUUAAAAUCAUGAUACUUGAGAGAAGAAAGUAAGUUAUUAGGUAAGCUAUUGUUCUUGUUCUCAUUAUCACGUAUCAUCAUUACCAUUACUUGCGUUCUCCUUUUAUAUUCUCAUGCAAACUUGACACAUAAGGCAAAGGCGCCGCACGUGUAGAUGCUGUCACAGGUUAGGAAUCCGGUUCAGCGCGCCCAAAGGUGACUCACUGGUGCAUCAUUCGGGUCCGCGCCGGUUUGUCUGUUUGAACCUCUAUGGCGGGAAAAAAAAAGCGUUGGCCAGCUGACGGUUAGCCUCGACUUGCAACGCUCCUGAUUUAGACACACUGAAGUAGUAGGAGGCGUCUUUUAAUAUGUGCAGGGGUAGUAAUCAUGCCAGCGGGGUAAGUUUCAGGUCCAUAUUCUCAUACAUUUCGGAGCUUACACCCACCCACAUUUGGUAAGGCUUUUGUAUAGGUUGUGGGUAGUUCCAUGGGUAGUUUUGUAAGUCUUGUGAUAGUUUGAUAAGGCUUACACACCCACAUUUGGUAAGGCUUUUGUAUAGGUUGUGGAUAAUUCCAUGGGUAGUUUUGUAAGCCUUGUGAUAGUUUGAUAAGGCUUACACACACACAUUUGGUAAGGCUUUUGUAUAGGUUGUGGAUAGUUCCAUGGGUAGUUUUGUAAGCCUUGUGAUAGUUUGAUAAGGCUUCUGCAUCGUGAACGGGAAAAGCGCUCAAGAGAACCCUUUGGAAAUAGGCUUUUGUAUAGGUUGUGGUUAGUUCCAUGGGUAGUUUUGUAAGCCUUGUGAUAGUUUGAUGAGGCUUCUGCAACAUGAACAGGAGAAACACUCAAGAAAACCCUUAGGAAAUACUUGUUGUCAGAGAAUACGGGUUUUAAGUUCCCCAAAACACCAGUGGUUCCUUAAAACAUCAUGAAAGCAAUAAAGAAAAUAAUGCCUAUGAGUUCAACGUGUUAGUGAUGCACCGCUCGCUGCCUCUCGCACAUUUCGUAACGCUGACCCGCAAGAUUGAUAAACCAUCGCGUUUGCAGCGUUGCACAACUGUUGAGUCUAGCUGAGUCUUUCCACACCUGUUCGCCGCGUGCUGGAGGGUCACCUACGUAUACAGCGGGCAAACAGGACUGAUGGGAUAAACAAGCAUGAAGUGUAGUCCUGCUCAUUAGAUAGACAGUGAGGAGUAAUACAUAUCCCUCCUCCUUUUCCUCCUAGGGGGCUUCGUGGUGCAGUGGUUAGCACACUCGGCUCACAUCCAAGAGAGCCCGGGUUUGAUUCCCGGGCGGAGUGGAAAAAUUUGGGCGGCUUUUCUGAUACCCUACGCCCCUGUUCACCCAGCAGUGAAUGGGUACCAGGUAUUAAUCGGGGGUUGUGUCCCGUCCCCUGGGGUUUGUUCCUUUCUCCUAUAAUUCCUUUCCCUUCUGUCUCUCCGGCAUAUGACCACAGAUGUUGCGCCGACUAAACGAAACUUUCCAAAUUUUUCCUUUUCCUCCUCCCAUUUUUUAACUGUCUUCAGCCUGAUAGUCACAAUUGCCUGAUGGAUCUCCUUCCCCCUCAUCCAAAAACUAAUGGUUCGUCUGUCGAUUAGGGGUUAAAACGCUUGGCUUCGAUGAUUGAGGGAAGCCUCUUGGUCUUGAAGCAUCCUUUAAUAGUCAACAGACCACUCAGCACACGAUGGGACAUUUGAUGAUGGAGUGACAGAGAACGUCGCUAUUAUUAUUGCUAUUAUCAUCGUUAUUAUCGCCGCUAUCAUCAAUAUUUUUACGUAUAGAAGAUCGCUGGGAGUAUCUGUGGGAGUUGACAUGCCAGAGGAAGCGAGGGUGUGAAUCAUGGAGUGGUUAAGUGGGGGAAAGGAACCUCUUGGAUAGUUUAGAUGUAGAUAAGAAGUGUAGAGAGGAAGCUGUUGAAAAGUUUACGAUUAACAGAUAAGGGAAGUGGGUGCAGUGUGAGAAAAUGGGUGAGAGGCUUUGUGAAGGGAAAGAUGAAAAGGAAAAGGAUGAAGAGAAGUGAAGGAAUUAAAGAUAUGCGUGUAAUCGACAGAAUGGAAGAGAAAAAGUUAACAGCAGACGUAACCUUGGUGCUCUCUUUGAAGAAGUGUGCGAUUGGAACGAGACAUCAUGAUAGAUAGAGAAUUAAAGACACUGAAAGAAAAGUACUUGACACACACACACACACACACACACACACACACACACACUAAACCCUUCCUUCCUUUCGAAGAUAACAACCGUAGAAAAAUCUCUUCCAUUGUCUCAUCGCAUCUCAGAGAACGUGUGUGUUUGUGUGUGUGUGUGUGUAGGGCUUCCUUCCUCAUGUGUGCACGCUGAGAGAGGCAGGAAGCGAGUAGGUGUGUGUGUGUGUGUGUGUGUGUUGAAGGCUUGGCGCGUCCCUGUUUGAGCGGGAAAGCUUUGUCUCACGGAAGUGGAAGGAGUAGGCUAGUGAGGGUGACGAACAGCGUAACUCCCCGUGUUCUUAUGGCUACGUGACUCCUUCCCCCCCUCUCUCUCUCUCUCUCUCUCUCUCUGCAAAGGUCACAUUCUCCGAUCUUUGUGUUUUUCGUAACUACUCAGACUGCCGGUGUUACUAGCUCGAUCCUGAGUAUUGAUUCGGUGCGUGUGUGUGUGUGUGUGUAUUCCAUGUGGAAGAGAGAGAGAGAGAGAUAAGAGAGAAAUGUUGGAUAGGUCGGGUUGUCCUCUCUUUCUCCUCUCGCUCUCUUCAUCCCCGCGCGCUCUUUUCCUCCCCGAAGUCUUCCCCCUUUCAGAAUUAGGUCAAAGAGAAGAGAAAUAAGAGCACUAGAAGGAGGAAGAAGAAGAAGAGGAGGUGGAGGAGGUGUAAAGUAGAGAGGAGGAAGGAUCGAGGCAAGACUUAGGAAAAUAACGAAAACAAGUCUUAUUUUCUUGUCACAUGAAGGAUUUUUUUUUGUUUAAUUUUUUCUCUUCAUUCGCCUCUCGUGUGGUGCCUAGUUUUUGUGGGAACUGUAUUUAGCCGAGGCGAGAGAGAGCCAAGACGUGGACUUGAAUAACUAAACCAUCGCAGUCGGUCUAGUAGUAGGCUUGUAUCAUUCUCCUUCAGAAGUAUUAACGCUAGUUCCAAUCACACGACGCCACGAACACAAGUUAAGAGUUUAGUGAUUGCUGGUGUGAAGGGGACAGUUUUGAUAGUCACUUGUUUGGUUCUUUGUUAUGUUAUUGCUGUUGUUGGCCUUGUUAUAGUCAUGCGAUUUCGUUUCGAGAUGGAAUAAUGAAUAGAGUUUCUGUUAGUUGUUGUAGUAGUAUAAUUCUUGUUGUGGAAGGGCGAUAUUUAGAGAAAAGUCAAAACAAACACAAGGUUUUCUGAUGUCGUUUCAAGAUGGCAUGAUAAAUAGUUUCUUCGUUGUUAUUGUAGUAGGCAUAUUAGUUGUUCUUGUUGUGGAAGGGCGCGUGUCAUCACCCACCACAAACAUACUAUAACGUGUUCUGAUCUCGUUUUAAGACGUUACGAUAAAUAGAGCUUCUCCGUUGUUAGCGUACCAGCAGUAGUUGUUGGUAUGGAAAGCCUCGUGUAAUGAACUCACCACAAAUAAGUUAUAAGGUUUUCUGAUCUCGUUUCAAUAUAGUUUAGUCAAUGGGGCUUCUGCUUCGUUAUUGUGGUGGCAGAAGUUGUUGUCAGGGGAAGGGCGCGCGUUGAUAAGUACCGUCGCAGUACCGAGGGCGCGCCUGGGCCUCCGGAGCGGCCUGCCUCUUGGCCUGCACCUGCGCACUGGCCCUCUGCCUUUGUGUGGCCGAGUCGUCACCGCCGCCGCCAACACCCGCCGCCGCUGCCUCUUCACCCGCGGCCCCCUCACCCUCACACAACCAUAACCCGACCUGAUUCUUACCAGCGACUCCUCACAGCUCGGAGCGGUUGUGCGUACUUCCCCACGCCUGUCCUUGCUCUGUGCACAAUGCGUGUUGCUUGCUGCCUUCCCCCCCACCCCACCCCACCCGUGCCUAAGUUACUGUACACACCGAUAAUUGGGUUCACGUCUCCGGCUGGCGAGGGCGGUGGUAGGUGCGUGGGUGGCUCCCCUGCAAAGCUUCUACCAGGAAAAGCUCAUUGCCUUGCCACCUGCCCCAUCGCGGUAAUUCCCCACUUUAGUCUUUGUUGCAAAAAAAAAUUAUGAGGUUAUGUACAUUCACAGCACUUAAACUGUGCGUCACUUAAUGCAACUUUUGGGAUACUAAUUAAAGUUUAUUUUAACUAUGUUUUUAGGUGUGUGUGUGUGUGUGUGUGUGUGUGUGUGUGUGUGUGUGUGUGUGUG
Eriocheir sinensis (Chinese mitten crab) is the source of this 5693-nucleotide long non-coding RNA. RefSeq lists it as uncharacterized. NCBI's taxonomy places the organism in Eukaryota, Metazoa, Arthropoda, Malacostraca, Decapoda, Varunidae. The record is from RefSeq and is a predicted model, not a curated record. The transcript has 2 exons.